This is a long non-coding RNA of Mizuhopecten yessoensis (Yesso scallop), 324 nucleotides long. RefSeq lists it as uncharacterized. Lineage: Eukaryota; Metazoa; Mollusca; Bivalvia; Pectinida; Pectinidae. The record is from RefSeq and is a predicted model, not a curated record. The transcript is spliced from 3 exons.
UACUGACACAUCCCUGUGACACACUCAUCCUCUUCACAUAGCUUUGUCAGGCUGACCAGUAUGACUUGUAUACGUGCGAACACCCAUGUUUUGGUAUGUUAACCUACUGACACAUCCCUGUGACACACUCAUCCCCUUCACAUAGCUUUGUCAGGGUGACCAGUAUGACUUGUAUACGUGCGAACACCCAUGUUUUGGUAUGUUAACCUACUGACACAUCCCUGUGACACACUCAUCCCCUUCACAUAGCUUUGUCAGGGUGACCAGUACAACUUGUAUACAUGGAACACCCAUGUUUUGGUAUGUUAACCUAAUACUGACACA